Molecule: ribosomal RNA, 572 nt
Filed under: Bacteroides fragilis
Lineage: Bacteria; Pseudomonadati; Bacteroidota; Bacteroidia; Bacteroidales; Bacteroidaceae
Description: partial 23S ribosomal RNA
Rfam family: Bacterial large subunit ribosomal RNA
Source: RNAcentral
AAGAAAGUAAAUAAGGGCGCAUGGCGGAUGCCUUGGCUCUCGGAGGCGAUGAAGGACGUGAUAAGCUGCGAUAAGCUUCGGGUAGGUGCAAAUAACCUUUGAUCCGAAGAUUUCCGAAUGGGACAACCCGGCAUUCUGAAGGAAUGUCAUCCAACCAAGUUGGAGGCUAACGCAGGGAACUGAAACAUCUUAGUACCUGCAGGAAAAGAAAAUAAAUAAUGAUUCCCCUAGUAGUGGCGAGCGAACGGGGAAUAGCCCAAACCACCCGUGUUACGGCAUGUGUGGGGUUGUAGGACCACGCUCUCGCAAGAAAGUUAUUGAGAAGAAGCGACUGGAAAGUCGCGCCAUAGACGGUGAUAGCCCGGUAUUCUAAGGUAACUGAAGCGUAGUGGUAUCCUGAGUAGCGCGGAGCACGAGGAAUUCUGCGUGAACCAGCCGGGACCAUCCGGUAAGGCUAAAUACUCCCGAGAGACCGAUAGCGAACCAGUACUGUGAAGGAAAGGUGAAAAGCACUUCGAAUAGAAGAGUGAAAUAGUCCCUGAAACCAUGCGCCUACAAGCGGUCGGAGCAGC